GACGAACGCUGGCGGCGUGCUUAACACAUGCAAGUCGAACGGAAAGGCCCUGCGUUUGUGGGGUGCUCGAGUGGCGAACGGGGGAGUAACACGUGAGUAACCUGCCCUUGACUUUGGGAUAAAUUCAGGAAACUGGGGCUAAUACCGGAUAGGAGCUCCUGCUGCAUGGUGGGGAUUGGAAAGUUUCGGCGGUGGGGGAUGGACUCGCGGCUUAUGAGCUGGUUGGUGGGGUAGUGGCUGACCAAGGCUUUGACGGGUAGCCGGCCUGGGAGGGUUGACGGCCACAUUGGGACUGAGAUACGGCCCAGUAUCCUACGGGAGGCAGCAGUGGGGAAUAUUGCACAGUGGGCGGAAGCCUGAUGCGGCAGCGCCGCGUGCGGGAUGACGGCCUUCGGGUUAUAAACCGAUUUCGCCUGUGACGAAGCGUGAGUGACGGUAAUGGGUAAAGAAGCACCGGCUAACUACGUG
This 468-nucleotide ribosomal RNA is filed under the name uncultured bacterium. RNAcentral's name for it is "partial 16S ribosomal RNA". It matches the Rfam family "Bacterial small subunit ribosomal RNA", at positions 28 to 507 of the family's 1533-position model. The record is from RNAcentral.